CAGCUGCGAGAUUUGGUGUGAAUUGCAGGACACAUUGAGCACUAACUUUUCGAACGCGCAUUGCGGCCUCGGGUUCUGCCCGGGGCCUCGCCUGUCUGAGGGUCGGAUAAGACUUGCCCAGGAAGCCUCGGCUUUCAAUUGGCCGCACCGAAGACUUUCGAGUCUUCGCCGGCUCAAGUUCUCUCGAAAGGAUCCUCGCCGGUCGAAGAAGCGUUGCCGUCGCGCACGUCCGUCGGCCGGAGAAGACGAGCUUUUUUCUCCGCAUGAGACGGACCGACGCUCCACGCAGAGAACGAUCGGCGGUUCCUUCGGAUGUCCUUUUUGGACUCCGACCAAUAUCCUUUUUAUGUCGACCUCAGAUCAGACGAGAUGACCCGCUGAAUUUAA
RNAcentral lists this ribosomal RNA (387 nucleotides) under Troglohyphantes nigraerosae. RNAcentral's name for it is "eukaryotic LSU rRNA". The stretch from base 1 to 105 matches the Rfam family "5.8S ribosomal RNA", at positions 50 to 154 of the family's 154-position model. Lineage: Eukaryota; Metazoa; Arthropoda; Arachnida; Araneae; Linyphiidae. The record is from RNAcentral.